GACGGAGGAUGCAAGCGUUAUCCGGAAUUAUUGGGCGUAAAGCGUCCGCAGGUGGACAUACAAGUCUGCUGUGAAAGUGCAGAGCUUAACUCUGUAAAGGCGGUGGAAACUGUAGGUCUUGAGUAUGGUAGGGGUAGAGAGAAUUCCCGGUGUAGCGGUGAAAUGCGUAGAUAUCGGGAAGAACACCAGUGGCGAAAGCGCUCUACUGGACCAUAACUGACACUGAGGGACGAAAGCUAGGGGAGCGAAAGGG
RNAcentral lists this ribosomal RNA (253 nucleotides) under uncultured bacterium. Its description in RNAcentral is "partial 16S ribosomal RNA". It matches the Rfam family "Bacterial small subunit ribosomal RNA", at positions 524 to 776 of the family's 1533-position model. The record is from RNAcentral.